Passer domesticus (house sparrow) is the source of this 458-nucleotide long non-coding RNA. RefSeq lists it as uncharacterized. NCBI's taxonomy places the organism in Eukaryota, Metazoa, Chordata, Aves, Passeriformes, Passeridae. The record is from RefSeq and is a predicted model, not a curated record. The transcript has 3 exons.
CAGGAUUAUGGCACCGAUACAGGAUGGAGGCACAAAGAAUUCAGGAAAGAACUGUCCCCUCAUUAUCCUGGAGCAAAGCAGGUGGAAGUGUCCAACCUCAGUGAUGUUGCAAACAUACAGAAGUCAUUUUAAGGCACCACAAGUUCUGCUUUCCUGCUUGUCAAGGAAAACCUGAGCUGUGGACCAAGAUAAAACAUUCUUGUAUACAGGCAAGAAUCCUUACUUUGGCGUUCCAGAAAUCUCCAAAUUUUGGGAGAAUAUGAAUCAACAGAAAAAUUAUUAUUGGAAAGCUCCAGAUGGCUUAUUUUGGAUAUGUGGAAAAAGAGCAUACACAAAACUCCCCUCUUGGUGGAAAAGGAGCUGUACUCUGGGAAUCAUACAGCCAGGAUUUUUUCUUUUACCAGGACCUGGUGGAGAUCAAUUAGGAAUACCAGUUUAUGAGAACCUAAAGAGAAAUA